Molecule: ribosomal RNA, 253 nt
Filed under: uncultured bacterium
Lineage: Bacteria
Description: partial 16S ribosomal RNA
Rfam family: Bacterial small subunit ribosomal RNA
Source: RNAcentral
GACAGAGGGGGCAAGCGUUGCUCGGAAUUACUGGGCGUAAAGGGCGCGUAGGCGGGAUGGCAAGUCGGUCGUGAAAUCCCUCGGCUCAACUGAGGAACGUCGAUCGAUACUGCUGUUCUUGAGGAUUGCAGAGGAGACUGGAAUUCCCGGUGUAGCGGUGAAAUGUGUAGAGAUCGGGAGGAACACCGGUGGCGAAGGCGGGUCUCUGGGCAAUUCCUGACGCUGAGGCGCGAAGGCGUGGGGAGCGAACGGG